Molecule: long non-coding RNA, 522 nt
Organism: Etheostoma cragini (Arkansas darter)
Lineage: Eukaryota; Metazoa; Chordata; Actinopteri; Perciformes; Percidae
Exons: 2
Source: RefSeq, a predicted model, not a curated record
UUGUUAUUUUGAGGAUGAAGGUUUCCUCUCCAUCUCCACUGUCUGAAGUCAACAUCAGGAGUACUGUGUUACAACAGAUUAAAGAUGUACUGGUGAAACAAGGGUUGCCCUCAAACACGAUUGUACGCCUUGUGAGUGGUGUGUAGUGUGGUAAUUAAUAACCACAGCGACCCCUGUUGAUUGAACAUUUGCUGACCCGUGGAGAGAAAAGUUGUCAGGUUCCUGUCAAAUUUUAAACAUUAAAACAUGUUUAAAGUCAAUUAAUGGUCAGCUUUAAUGUAUAAAUAUCAUGGCGUACACUAAGGACAAAUAUUUGACUGUAUAAUGUAUAGAACAUAUGUAAAAUUACACUCUAGUCAUUGUUGUUUAACCAAACUUUAUUUUUUUAUGUAAAUAUUUGACUGGAUAAUGUAUAAGGUUCCUGUUGGAGUGUGUAUUAAAAUAUCUUGCUGCCUUUGAUUAUUUGUCCAAUAUGUGCUGUAUGUCCAUUUAUAACCAACUGCAAAAAAUGUACUUGCAAAC